GACGUAGGGCGCGAGCGUUGUCCGGAUUUAUUGGGCGUAAAGAGCUCGUAGGCGGCUUGUCGCGUCAACUGUGAAAACCCGUGGCUCAACCAUGUGGUCUGCAGUCGAUACGGGCAGGCUAGAAUUCGGUAGGGGAGACUGGAAUUCCUGGUGUAGCGGUGAAAUGUGUAGAGAUCGGGAAGGAACACCGGUGGCGAAGGCGGGUCUGCUGG
This 212-nucleotide ribosomal RNA is filed under the name uncultured bacterium. RNAcentral describes it as "partial 16S ribosomal RNA". It matches the Rfam family "Bacterial small subunit ribosomal RNA", at positions 524 to 732 of the family's 1533-position model. The record is from RNAcentral.